GCUGUUUUUAAAGAACAAAGAAGAAUAUCAUUUAACGUUAUGGACUUUUAAUGCAGGGGAGCGAUUGGGCAACCGAGGCUAUUGGUUCCUGUUGUACUAGUCAUGAUCUUUAACAGGUGGAAUGGGCUCGUCGUUCCACAAUAUGGAUUUAUGCAACUGGAAUUGAUACCAAUGUUAGUGGGAUUCUUCACAUACAAGAUUGCUACUUUUAUCCAAGCUAUAGAGGAAGCACUUCCUGUAGCUGAGAAAACAGACACAAGUUCAAGCUAAACCUUCCCAUCUUCAUAGAUCAGCAGAAUAUCCCAUUGAUAGUUCCGAUGCAGCUUUCAGAGAUAAGCUGCUCGGAAGUGAAGACGUGUAGUGAAUUGAACAGAACUGUAUACUAGUUAUUGAUGUUAGUUGUCCUUUGUUCUGUAUGAAUGUUGUAAAACAAGGGAAUUGAAUAUAUUUGUCUAUAAUUUGCCUCAUACCAUUUGUAAUAUUUUCAGAUAACUACAUUUUUUUUUUUUUAAAUUUAUUGGAGGGGCAAGCAUUGACCUCUUGUCAGCAAGCAA
This is a long non-coding RNA of Prunus dulcis (almond), 554 nucleotides long. RefSeq lists it as uncharacterized. Lineage: Eukaryota; Viridiplantae; Streptophyta; Magnoliopsida; Rosales; Rosaceae. The record is from RefSeq and is a predicted model, not a curated record. The transcript has 3 exons.